Esox lucius (northern pike) is the source of this 2165-nucleotide long non-coding RNA. The record is from Ensembl. Lineage: Eukaryota; Metazoa; Chordata; Actinopteri; Esociformes; Esocidae.
GGAGUCUCCGCGGCUAACGUUUGCACCCAUGGGAGAGAAAGCUAAGCUCCGCCCCUGCAAAAGGGGGAACCUAAGCUAUUGAAGCUAGGGGUGAGCAUAUUUUUUCAACACAAUGAAACUGCAUUUCUGUUGAUUUUUUAUGAAUAGAUGAUUGCAGAGUAUAAUCUUUCAGUGUCAUUUGUUAAAUUAAAUUUAGUUUAUCUGUAAAUAGAGUUGAAAUGUGUACUUAUUUUUUCACAUGACUGUACAGUACGUUUAAGGUAAGCAGCAACAGCAUAUGGACAAAUAAUAUUUUACCUUGUUAUUUUUCUUUUGCCCUGAAAGAGCACUCCUAAAUUGUGUGAUCUAUGUACAAGGGAAAACAAUUACUUUAAAACAUGUUCCUAGUGGUGAGUAAAAGCAGCGGAUGUUAAAAUCCGCCAGCCUUCUCACUUGGGAAUACUUUCUAGCCUCUCAUGUCUGGCACAUUCACAAAUGUGUCCGGGAAUUGGAGAUGUUCAAUCACACACUCGUGCAAGGAAAGUGAUGGACACAUAAUGUACUGUACAAAGCUCUCCUCCAUCUUUCCCUCUCUCCCCAGGGAAGGUAACACCAGAUCCAAUGCAAUAUUUGAUGUUCCAGGUCCACAGGAGGUUGUGAUAUGCUGAAAAAACUGGCUACUAAGGUCAAUGCGGUUGGGAAAGGCAUGGAGCAAUGUGCAACAACCACGCGGAGAGCGAUAAGCGGGAUUUCCGCUCUGGUCAACUCUAUGCACAUACUCUUGGAGAACGAGGAAAGAAAAAGGUGCAGUGGUCUCUUAAUGUUUUCCGGAGCUGUAUGUAGUGUGAAGACAUAAUAAGCUGGAAAAACAAUUGAAGGCCAUGACUACCCUUAUGAAGCAAUCCCAAACCUCAGCACAGCAAUUGGGAUACCAAGUGAGCAAGCUUUUCAACAUUUCAAAACUUCUGAUUACUUGAAUUACAUAAUUUCUUCAACCUUUUUUGUAAGUGAUUCCUGAAACUACAGAAUGUUUCCAUGUGUCUGACCCUCUGUUUCCAGUAAUGGCUUUGUAUUCAUAAAACACAAUUGGGGCUGAUGGUUUGAACAAAGUCAAGUGAAUAGUUUAUUACCACAGGGAAGAUUACAUAUGCUUUGAUCAUUCUUUUACGCAACAGCAAAAUGCAUGCACACACAUGCAAGCAAACACAGACACACAAUAUGACUUCUUGACCUUGGAUGUUCUCUCACAGCUCGGAGGCCUUGUAAGUCUUGUCUGAAUUGGAGAACAAGUUCAGACUCCCUGUGCACAAGGGCCUCAUUUGGCAUUCAGCACCCUACUGAUGUGUUGGCUAAGCACAGAUCCUAAUUGCGUCGGCCAUUUUGUACCACUUGUUGUUUUCCCUUUGAUGUGAUCGUUAACAUGGAGGGAUGCAGGGAGUCCACACUCUGGGGUGCCUGCCAAUGUCAAGGGGCCAGGUAAACACAUCUGACUCACCUAUGAUGCUGUAGUAGUGGCAUCAAGGUAUAACUCAUUGUGAUAUGGUGCGUCUCUAUGAUCACAGGUGGACGGCUAAAAAUAGACAGAUUUCUGCAAGGUGUUUGACGUUUGGAACGUCACGGUGUAGACUGCAAAUAGAUCAGUAACACGUCAACACUUUAAUUUAGAGUGAGAGUCACUCUUUAUUUCCAAAAGACAAAAAUAGAAUCAGAUCAUUCUUAAAAAGAACAUUUUUAAAAAUAGACGCAGAAAAAUGAAAAGUAGAAAUUUCUUACCAUCAUUAAUCUGCCUCUAUGUGGUUAUUCCGAGUGCACCAUUGUGCAUUAACAACCACACACUAUGCAAUUAGUCCAAGGCGAGGUGCAAUCUUAAAAGCGAAUGCAACACAUAGCUUACUCUCAAUACUCCUUUACCAGAGCUAUAUUGAUUUAUAUUAGCAACAGCCUAAUUAACAUUUAAUCUAGUCAUACAUUUUAGAGUGAGUCGGAAAGUCACUUAAUGUGGGAAUCUGUUAAAAAAGAACCGUAUAAUUCACUGCUCGCACAGAUACCAAUUACGUGCAAACAGAUUUCUUCUAUGAAUGCUUAAAAAUGUUGUCAUGAUGAGAUAUUACUGACGCUACUCGUGUCCAUAGGCACUCAGCAACAUUUAUGCAUGAACAAAUUUAAUCUGAAUUAGAACAGCAGGU